AUCGGGAAAAAAAAAAAGGAGCAACAGCGGAACCGCAAAUGAGUGCUUGCAAAACCCUCUCGUGUCUGUCACUCUCUUCUCCUCCGUCCUUGAAACGCACACACCCUCCCUUUCUCUCUCUCUCUUCCCUCAUCCACCCAACUCUCACGCGCAGAUGUUACACGUCCGAACUAAACGCUUCUUCGAUCGAAGAAUCAGAAUCCCAAUCUGCGAGUGUUCAACACUUCCUCACGAGCCCCGAAGGAGUGUCAACGCUCAUGAAGAUGGAACGAAAGCCUCUUCUCCAUCAACCGCAGCGUCGAUGGUUCCCUUACCUCGACACCUUCCGCUGCCGAAACGACUGCGUUUUGACCAGCGCCGAGGUCAUCGACGUCCUCGCUCCUUGCAUCUCUGAGGUUCGGAAGCAAAGGUUCGGACGCGUGAUUAGGAACCGGAGCUACUCGGUUUGUCUGGUCGUCGAAGGACUCUGCGAUUUCGGCAAUGUCUCCGCCGCGUUUCGAUCCGCCGACGCACUCGGCGUUCAGUCCGUUCACGUCGUGUCUUGUGACACCAACAAAAGGUGUUGACAUUGUUGAGGUAUAAAGAUAAUCGCCAUGUAAGCAUGGGUGCAGAGAAAUGGUUGGACAUUGAACUGUGGGACUCUACAAAGGAGUGCUUCAAAAUGUUGAAAUCACGUGGUUAUCGAAUUGCCACAACUCAUGUGGGAAUGGAUGCGGUUUCUAUUCAUGACUUAGACUGGUCCUGCCCAACAGCAAUUGUAGUCGGGAAUGAAAAUAGGUUAUUUCCUUCAUUUUUGUGAUGCUCAAUGCUUAUUUUUUGCAUACCAUUGGAUAUAGAAAAGUCCAUGUAAUGCCUUUCAAGAUACAAGUGUGAGCUCAAUGUAGCUGUCGCCUGUCAUUUUUUCUUGUUUACUGAGUACUGACUUAGUAGUCAGGGAAUCACCAACCAUUUUGACAUUUAAAUAAAUGUUAUGUUCCUUGUAACAUAGGUAUUCUGCUCAGGUUUUUUAUGUAUUCAACAGUGGACGUGUUCUUGUUGCAGGGGUAUUAGUGAUGAAGCUUUGGAGUUGUCAGAUUUGCACUGCUGUAUACCAAUGACAGGGAUGGUGGACUCUUUUAAUGUUUCAGUUGCUGCAGGAAUCCUCAUGCACCAUGCUGUUUGUGAUAGAAUAUCUCGUAUGGGUCGUCAUGGAGACCUGACAGUAGAAGAAUGCCAAAUUCUACUUGCAGAAUUUUCACUGCGCCAUAGUAGGAGUGCGAUUAGUAUUGUAGAAGAUUAUGGAAAGCGUAAAGCAGCAGUAUUGACCUAACAGCAGUAACAGGUCAAACUUCUGAUUGUAUGCUUGCUUAUUCUUACAAGGAGACAAACAAGAGACUGGAUUGUCUCUGAUUGAUUGAUUCGUACAAACUAGGUGCUACAUCGCAUUAUCUGAAGCAUGGCGGACAAAGCUUGUUGAUGACAAUGGAGACCUUGCCAACUACCAAGCCUCUGUUUAGAUUAUAUAAUAUUUCGUCAAGGAAGCGCUUACUAGCCCAAUUUACUUAGUAAUGGGGAACGAUGCCAUCAAAAGUGCAUUUGUAUUUUCUUUAUGUCAAAUUUUCGAGCAUUACAGAUCUGAAAAGGACAAUGAUUUUUAGAUUCCUAUUUCUAAGCAUUUUGAUAUUUAGUAGCUUGAUAUUAGGAAGUUAUGAAUGCAGCGAAGGCUCAUC
Molecule: RNA transcript, 1709 nt
Organism: Abrus precatorius (Indian licorice)
Lineage: Eukaryota; Viridiplantae; Streptophyta; Magnoliopsida; Fabales; Fabaceae
Gene name: tRNA (guanosine(18)-2'-O)-methyltransferase
Exons: 4
Source: RefSeq, a predicted model, not a curated record